This 429-nucleotide ribosomal RNA is filed under the name Chloroflexota bacterium. RNAcentral describes it as "Chloroflexi bacterium partial 16S ribosomal RNA". It matches the Rfam family "Bacterial small subunit ribosomal RNA", at positions 355 to 776 of the family's 1533-position model. The record is from RNAcentral. Lineage: Bacteria; Bacillati; Chloroflexota.
UAGGGAAUCUUCGGCAAUGGACGAAAGUCUGACCGAGCAACGCCGCGUGAGUGAAGAAGGUUUUCGGAUCGUAAAACUCUGUUGUUAGAGAAGAACAAGGACGUUAGUAACUGAACGUCCCCUGACGGUAUCUAACCAGAAAGCCACGGCUAACUACGUGCCAGCAGCCGCGGUAAUACGGAGGGUGCAAGCGUUAAUCGGAAUUACUGGGCGUAAAGCGCACGCAGGCGGUUGAUUGAGUCAGAUGUGAAAUCCCCGGGCUUAACCCGGGAAUUGCAUCUGAUACUGGUCAGCUAGAGUCUUGUAGAGGGGGGUAGAAUUCCAUGUGUAGCGGUGAAAUGCGUAGAGAUGUGGAGGAAUACCGGUGGCGAAGGCGGCCCCCUGGACAAAGACUGACGCUCAGGUGCGAAAGCGUGGGGAGCAAACAGG